This 593-nucleotide long non-coding RNA is filed under the name Mytilus galloprovincialis (Mediterranean mussel). The record is from RNAcentral. Lineage: Eukaryota; Metazoa; Mollusca; Bivalvia; Mytilida; Mytilidae.
AUUCCACUUGAGUGUUCAAUUUGAGUGUGUAAAAUUUGGAGAAUCACCGGUUUGCUUUAUCCUUAUGAUGUCAAUCAUAGUUAUUUUUGUUGUAUUUUUUGUUUGUAAUAUCUAAAAGGAAGAUUUUGUAUUAUUGUCAAUGAAACAAUUAUCCAUCCAUGAAGACUUAAAAGUUGCACUGCUUCACGUUUACACAAUGUAUAUUUUUCUUGGGACAAACACAAGGACUCUCUCUAUAUAUUAAAAGCGAAUAUCAGCUCUAUCUAAAUUUGAAAAAGACAAUUCCUGUCUCUAAACAAAACAAUGUGCUUUGAUGUGUAAGUUCUCUUUUUAUGAGGUUCUGUUUUUAUAUAAUUAUGCAUUUCUUUCUGUAAGGUAAUGUUUUCUCAGAUAAAAUAGCGUCAUCAAUUAAUGUGUGUGUGAAGAUAAAUAAACAAGUCCAUGAAAUAAACGAGCACGAUCACAGUAAUUUUAAAUAUUCACUUGUUAUCAUCUAUCAUGCUGACUUAUAUAUAUAGGAUUGCUAUCAUAUGAUGCAACUUUUCCCGAUAAGAAUUCAACCAAUAACAUACCCUGAAACGAUUUCAGUCCAC